AGCGAACGCUGGCGGAAUGCUUAACACAUGCAAGUCGCACGGGGGCUUCGGCUUCAGUGGCGGACGGGUGAGUAACGCGUAGGAACGUGUCCUGGGAUGGGGGAUAACGCUGGGAAACUGGCGCUAAUACCGCAUAUCUCCUGAGGGAGAAAGCCGCGAGGCGUCUUGGGAGCGGCCUGCGUCCGAUUAGCUUGUUGGUUAGGUAAUGGCUGACCAAGGCGAUGAUCGGUAGCUGGUCUGAGAGGAUGAUCAGCCACACUGGGACUGAGACACGGCCCAGACUCCUACGGGAGGCAGCAGUGGGGAAUAUUGGACAAUGGGCGCAAGCCUGAUCCAGCAAUUCCGCGUGGGUGAAGAAGGUCUUCGGAUUGUAAAGCCCUUUCGGCGGGGACGAUGAUGACGGUACCCGCAGAAGAAGCCCCGGCUAACUUCGUG
RNAcentral lists this ribosomal RNA (435 nucleotides) under uncultured bacterium. Its description in RNAcentral is "bacterial SSU rRNA". It matches the Rfam family "Bacterial small subunit ribosomal RNA", at positions 28 to 507 of the family's 1533-position model. The record is from RNAcentral.